GGUGUGUGACUUUUAUAUAAGGUUAUCUUCUUUACACUAAAUUAGCCAUUACUAGAUGCUGCAUAACAAACCAUAAUUUUUCUUCAGUUCAGAUUUGUUGAUCAUGAUUACAACCAAAAAACAAAUGUCACUGAUUCUCACAGGCGUGCUCACAAAAAGGACGGUGAAGAGGACAGUUUACACAUGCCUGUUAUGCAGAUUUCUUUGCACAGAAUGCACCUGAUCUAAAAUGGAUUGUUGGAAAUAUUUGUUAAGUGCUCUCUUUCUCUUCUUGUCAGGUUGCACCUUAGAGCAUUUCCCUGGAUGUUAUAACUCUGGAAAGAUUAUGGAUGGCUUUGUAUGGCUUGAUGAUUUUAGUUCCUUUAGGCUGUUGUAAGAUUGUAUUUGGUUCCGAACUGGUAUAUACUCUUUCAUGUAGAUGUACAAAUUUGCUUGUGACUGUUUUUGGGGUUAUGUUCCCAUUCUGUA
Medicago truncatula (barrel medic) is the source of this 468-nucleotide long non-coding RNA. RefSeq lists it as uncharacterized. The record is from RefSeq and is a predicted model, not a curated record. Lineage: Eukaryota; Viridiplantae; Streptophyta; Magnoliopsida; Fabales; Fabaceae. The transcript is spliced from 2 exons.